This 501-nucleotide ribosomal RNA is filed under the name uncultured bacterium. RNAcentral describes it as "partial 16S ribosomal RNA". It matches the Rfam family "Bacterial small subunit ribosomal RNA", at positions 29 to 523 of the family's 1533-position model. The record is from RNAcentral.
AUUGAACGCUGGCGGCAUGCCUUACACAUGCAAGUCGAACGGCAGCACGGGUGCUUGCACCUGGUGGCGAGUGGCGAACGGGUGAGUAAUACAUCGGACCGUACCUUAGCGUGGGGGAUAACGCAGCGAAAGCUGUGCUAAUACCGCAUACGCCCUGAGGGGGAACGCGGGGGAUCGCAAGACCUCGCGCGAUUAGAGCGGCCGAUGCCUGAUUAGCUUGUUGGUGGGGUAAAAGCCCACCAAGGCGACGAUCAGUAGCUGGUCUGAGAGGACGAUCAGCCACACUGGGACUGAGACACGGCCCAGACUCCUACGGGAGGCAGCAGUGGGGAAUUUUGGACAAUGGGGGCAACCCUGAUCCAGCAAUGCCGCGUGAGUGAAGAAGGCCUUCGGGUUGUAAAGCUCUUUUGUCAGGGAAGAAACACCGGCUCUAACACAGUCCGGGAAUGACGGUACCUGAAGAAUAAGCACCGGCUAACUACGUGCCAGCAGCCGCCGUAA